This 94-nucleotide transfer RNA is filed under the name Hyphomicrobium sp. RNAcentral's name for it is "tRNA-Ser". It matches the Rfam family "tRNA". Rfam says of the family: Transfer RNA (tRNA) molecules are approximately 80 nucleotides in length. Their secondary structure includes four short double-helical elements and three loops (D, anti-codon, and T loops). The record is from RNAcentral. RNAcentral also lists the same sequence under 2 other names. Lineage: Bacteria; Pseudomonadati; Pseudomonadota; Alphaproteobacteria; Hyphomicrobiales; Hyphomicrobiaceae.
GGAGACGUGGCCGAGAGGCUGAAGGCGGCGCUUUGCUAAAGCGUUAUACGUGCUAAAACGCGUAUCGAGGGUUCGAAUCCCUCCGUCUCCGCCA